GAGAGCACAGUACGAUGAAAGUUGUAAGCUGUGUUCGGGGGGGAGUUAUUGUCUAUCGUUGGCCUCUAUGGUAGAACCCGUCGGGGAGGCCUGAGAGGCGGUGGUUUACCCUGU
Molecule: non-coding RNA, 114 nt
Organism: Oryza meridionalis
Lineage: Eukaryota; Viridiplantae; Streptophyta; Magnoliopsida; Poales; Poaceae
Source: Rfam